Molecule: long non-coding RNA, 1062 nt
Filed under: Physcomitrium patens
Lineage: Eukaryota; Viridiplantae; Streptophyta; Bryopsida; Funariales; Funariaceae
Description: long non-coding RNA (PPAT_LNC000101)
Source: RNAcentral
AAAUCUUAAAAAUCCUCAUUGGAAUUAAAAUUCUAUUUUCUAAGACCUUGACCUACUUUAACCUCAAUAAUCCUCAAUUCAGUCAUUAGAUCAAGAUAAGAUUUACAACACAUAUUAAGCACAACUAUAACCAUUAAUCCACAAAAUAUCUUACAUAAAUCUUUUACAAAACUCUCGAAAUCACCAGAAAUAUUAAUCCUAUUCUAUUUCAUAAAAUUCAAGUCAUCGAAAUACAAAUUUGACUUUGUAAAGCUCUUACAAAGUUAAUAUGAAUCCAAAUCACCCAAAACCAAUGCUUAUAGUAACCUUAUUUAAUCUGCUAUCAAAUUCCACUCUCUAAUCUGCAAAAGAACCUCCAAAUUGCUAUAUGUACUUGGUUUUGUACCUCAAGGUUUGAUUUUGAUCCAAGUUGAUAACCGACCCUCCUUAGAUAUCAAUAUCUAGUUAUUUAGGUAAUUUUUAUUAGAAUUUACUCUUAACUUCUUUCUAAAGAUGCCUAUAUCUUUUUUUUUCAAUCUACUUUAUUUUGCUUUAUUUAUGGUCGUACAAAGUAAAUAGAAGUCACCUUUCUAAAAAGGCAACAUUGGUACCUUUUAGUUUUACUACCCUUUUGACUAUUAAUUAUAUUUCUAAGAUAAUUUUCUCUAAUACUUUGAACUAAGAUCUCUUACAUUAUAUUAAUUUCUACACUCUUUCACCUAUUAGUCAUAUUAUAUCAUAACAUCCACCCUCCUUGAAUCUGUGCAUCUUCUGACAUGUGCCAAAAAUUCUUCAAUAUGUUGAUGUAGAAUGUUCUUCAUCUUGGUCUAAUUCUCGACCUUCAAUAUGUUCUUCUAUUCCAAUCUCAAUAUCUUGUAUUGGAGUUUUUUUUGCAUAAAAAUAAAUAUCUUUAUUUCUUUUUUUAAAUAACUUUAUUUGUUUGCUUGCUAUGAGUACCUUCAAUUCUAUAUCAUCAAGUUCUUGUAAUAAAUAUGUUUCAUUUUUAUAUGCCUUUUUGACAAUAUAAAGCCGAAACCAUCUCUUUGUAAGUUUCUUCAUAGUGCUAUGUUGAUUGUCUAAGUU